GGGGCGGCGCAGGCGGGGGCUGCUCUCCCCGCGCUCCCGCCGCCCCCGGGCGGACAAGUCUCGCCCCUCUCGCCACAGGAACUGUCCAGACAAUAACAAUCAGCAGACAUUUCGCUGCUGCACGAGAGGGAGAGAAAGCACAGCAUCGCCCCGAGAUAACCAGAAAUACAAUCAACUUACAACGUCUCUCCAAACUGGAAAAGGCGACUGUGCAACCACCACCACCACAUGUUCAGGGCCUACUGCAGUGCAUGAAGGUGGUAUGGACUCAGAACUCUGAAGUCUGAGGAGACAAAUACGUGCCCACCAUAACAACAUCACACAAUACCUAGAGUCAAAACAGUUAUCCCUAUUCCUACCCCCAACUGAGUUAUUCAAUAAAGCCUGCCUUAUGGAAUCUGUUUUCCCAUGUAUAGU
This 417-nucleotide long non-coding RNA is filed under the name Gorilla gorilla gorilla (western lowland gorilla). Its description in RNAcentral is "lncRNA (ENSGGOG00000044340.1)". The record is from RNAcentral. Lineage: Eukaryota; Metazoa; Chordata; Mammalia; Primates; Hominidae.